GACGAACGCUGGCGGCGUGCUUAACACAUGCAAGUCGAGCGGAAAGGCCCUUCGGGUACUCGAGCGGCGAACGGGUGAGUAACACGUGAGUAAUCUGCCUCUAGCUCUGGGAUAGCUCCGGGAAACCGGGAUUAAUACCGGAUACGACCACUCAAGACAUCUUCUGUGGUGGAAAGAAUUUCGGCUAGAGAUGAGCUCGCGGCCUAUCAGCUUGUUGGUGGGAACGGCCACCAAGGCGACGACGGUAGCCGGCCUGAGAGGGCGACCGGCCACACUGGGACUGAGACACGGCCCA
This 295-nucleotide ribosomal RNA is filed under the name uncultured bacterium. RNAcentral describes it as "partial 16S ribosomal RNA". It matches the Rfam family "Bacterial small subunit ribosomal RNA", at positions 28 to 333 of the family's 1533-position model. The record is from RNAcentral.